UCGAAGCCUCGAUACAGAACAUCACAUCACUAGUGCUUUUGAGUUUAAGUUCCGUUCCCGUGAGUUUGUGUUUGGUUCCAAUUCCUGCUUGCCACACAGCCAUAACGUGACAGUGGACACAUUCCCAGAACUCUCAGUUAUCCGUUAUUUUUGGCUGUAUUCAUUUUCCCUUUAAUUCUGACAAGCUUCCAUUUUCCUGCCACUGAUAAGUGCAUGACACUGCUACCAGCAUGCUUCUCCAGAGGAAUGGCAUCACAAAGGUGAAGCAACUGACACAGGAUGCAGGGCUGGUGGCUGCUGAACAGGAGGCUGAACUGAAGACAAUUCUGAUACAAGAGCAGAUGCACCAAAAAGGAUGUGAAAUACUUUUUUUUUCAGAUGGCACAACGGGGAGCCCAACAGUUAUAAUGGCCGAGAUGAAGACUGUGGAGAAAUGAAGAUCAUUAAAGAUGAAAACAAAUGGAAUGACAGAGUGAAAACUUUUGGAUCUGUGAAAAGAUUGUGGAUCUGUAAUUGGCUAUCGGACUAGUAUUUUAAGCUACAGGGAAAACGGCUUAUCAUUAUGCAUGCAAGUUCAAACAAAUAUGGACAUUAAAAUCAAAUUCAAGAGAUUAAAAAAUUAUUCUGACCAUAGAAAUUGCAUAAACAUAAGGAUAAUGGCUGUAAAGUAUAUUAAUGCACAACCAAUAACAGGAAAUAUGUUGCGUUGCCACAUGUUUCCUGUUUUUGUGAACAUCUCCCUUAAUGCACUUUCCCAGCAGCCAACAAGAGUUAGCAGCACUGUGAAAUUUCUUUUACAAAGAAGGACAAGUCAGGGACUUUGCUGUGUAUUAAUAAAUUACUGCAACAGUGAAAACUGCUCAAGUGUGUGAACAAGAAAACCUCUGACUAUGUAAAACUAACAUGGUUAUAUUAAGAUGCAUUUACCAGUUUUAGCUAAAAAGUCAUGUUUGUAUAUAGUUUGCAGAUAUCCAACUGAACUUUAUUUCUCUGUAAGACAGUAUUAGCGUACUACUACAUACUAAAUAAUAACAAUUGUAACAAUAUUUUGUUGCCAAGACAACAAUGUGGCAGGCAGAGUACUUUGAUGUGUUACUCAUUAAGUAAACUUCUUGCUGUGGUUAGCACUGUAACCUCAGAUAAAUUUGGCAAAGCCGUUCUGAAUCAGCCAUUUUUACUAAUAAACUGUA
Pundamilia nyererei is the source of this 1190-nucleotide long non-coding RNA. RefSeq lists it as uncharacterized. The record is from RefSeq and is a predicted model, not a curated record. NCBI's taxonomy places the organism in Eukaryota, Metazoa, Chordata, Actinopteri, Cichliformes, Cichlidae. The transcript has 4 exons.